CUCUCACAGUUCUGGGCCCACCAGUCACUGGCUAUGGGGCCACCUGGGAGGGGUGUGUGAAUUCCCAGGCACUUGCAUCUCUGCAGGAGUGCAAGGGCGGGCCCCUGAAGUAGGUUUAAGUGAUCGCUCUUGGAGGUGAAGCAUAACGAAGCUGGGGGAGCAACAAGAAAUACCUUCAUCUUUUUAGAGAAGAGUGAAAUUGAAGCCAGAGAGGUUGGUUAACUUGCCCAAGAUCACAAAGCUUCCAAGAUGAAGAGCUGGGAUUUCAUUUCAGGUUUCCCAUCUGGCAACAUCCAAGCCCUUUCCAUAAUUCCACACUGUGAAUUUGCUUCCCAAACCAAGGGUUCUGAGAGGCCUGGCCUCUGCUUCCUCCGCCCAUCCAAUAAGUACCACCUGUCUGUUGAGGGGCUCAGUGGCUUCAAGGUUUCAACCCUGGCUACAUCAUGGAACCAUCUGGGGAGCUUUCCAAGUACUGAUGCCUGAACCUUAGUCACAGAUUAAUGGAAACCUGAGGAAUGGGGACCCAUGACCUGGAGUCUGUAAGGCUUCCCCAUUGAUGUGAUGCUUGGUGAAAUCUGUUUGGGACGUCACAGAAUUAUCAUCUAGAACACAGGUAAUCACUUUCCAAUAUUCUUUGAGACGGAGUCUCACUCUGUCGCCAGGCUGGAGUAGAGUGCGUGAUCUCGGCUCACUGCAACCUCCGUCUCCCAGGUUCAAGCGAUUCUCCUGCCUCAGUCUCCCAAGUAGCUGGAAUUACAGGCACCCACCACCAUGCUUGGGUAAUUUUUAUAUUUUUAGUACAGAAAGGAUUCCACCAUGUUAGCCAGGCUGGUCUCAUACUACUGACCUCAGGUGAUCUGCCUGCCUUGGCCUCCCAAA
RNAcentral lists this long non-coding RNA (879 nucleotides) under Homo sapiens (human). RNAcentral describes it as "HSALNT0068536". The record is from RNAcentral. Lineage: Eukaryota; Metazoa; Chordata; Mammalia; Primates; Hominidae.